CAGAACAUCAGAGCGCCAAUUCAUGCACAGCCAACUCAAAGAAAGGAGCUGGAUGUGGCAUCACAUGCUGGAGUCUGAAGACAGGGGUUACUCCCUGAAAACAUUUACUCACCAUUUGAAAUAAAAUAAUAUAUUUUGAGGAAUACGGAGAGUGCAUCUUCUUUGACAUACUGAAUAUUUCUGGAUUGCACCCCGGAUACAAGACGGAACAGUGAGUGCUGAUACUUUGAACAAUAUAUAUAUAGGCACCUAUCUUUUGGAAUGGUUGCGUGAGACACUACAAUGGUAUCAUGAUAAGAUUGUCCUGAAAAAGACUUACUAUUGGAGCCGAAACGUCAACUUAACUUAUAUGUGAUGUGAAUAAUCAAUUAAAGAUACAAUUUUGAAGAGUUAA
Long non-coding RNA from Bombina bombina (fire-bellied toad), 394 nucleotides. RefSeq lists it as uncharacterized. Lineage: Eukaryota; Metazoa; Chordata; Amphibia; Anura; Bombinatoridae. The record is from RefSeq and is a predicted model, not a curated record. The transcript is spliced from 2 exons.